UGGGGAAUAUUGCGCAAUGGGCGAAAGCCUGACGCAGCAACGCCGCGUGCGGGAUGACGGCCUUCGGGUUGUAAACCGCUUUCAGCAGGGACGAAACUGACGGUACCUGCAGAAGAAGCACCGGCUAACUACGUGCCAGCAGCCGCGGUGAUACGUAGGGUGCGAGCGUUGUCCGGAAUUAUUGGGCGUAAAGAGCUCGUAGGCGGUCUGUCGCGUCGGAAGUGAAAACUCGGGGCUCAACCCCGAGCCUGCUUUCGAUACGGGCAGACUUGAGGAAUGUAGGGGAGAACGGAAUUCCUGGUGGAGCGGUGGAAUGCGCAGAUAUCAGGAGGAACACCAGUGGCGAAGGCGGUUCUCUGGACAUUAACUGACGCUGAGGAGCGAAAGCGUGGGGAGCAAACAGG
This 404-nucleotide ribosomal RNA is filed under the name uncultured bacterium. Its description in RNAcentral is "bacterial SSU rRNA". It matches the Rfam family "Bacterial small subunit ribosomal RNA", at positions 355 to 776 of the family's 1533-position model. The record is from RNAcentral. RNAcentral also lists the same sequence under 1 other name.